This is a long non-coding RNA of Sebastes umbrosus (honeycomb rockfish), 646 nucleotides long. RefSeq lists it as uncharacterized. The transcript is spliced from 4 exons. The record is from RefSeq and is a predicted model, not a curated record. NCBI's taxonomy places the organism in Eukaryota, Metazoa, Chordata, Actinopteri, Perciformes, Sebastidae.
GAAGGCCAUGAAGCCCAGCACAGAGAAGAUAGCAAAACCUGCUACGAAGCUGGUGCCGCUGUUCAGACAACAUAGCAUGAGGCAGUCCCUGAGGAGCAAGACAGACAGGAAGUGGAGAGGAAAUUACACUUACAGGAAGCCAGGCAACAGCAUUGAUGGAGGAUGAGAAGCGAGCCUCAGAGCCUCAGAACUACACGGCGCUGCCAAAUCUUUGCCACCGAGUUCACCCCCGCAGCUCCUGACCAGCCAUUGAUCAAGGUGACAUGUUCUUGGUGGCCGGCCACAGGCUAGGUCCAACACAGCCCCCCCGGUCAUCCGAGAGGGCAAGAUGUGAACGCUAAUUACCUGUGUUCCAGUAGUGCCCACAGCUAGCCCACGGCAGCUCGGUGGUGAAGCAGUUGAAGAGGUAGAAUAUGGCCCAGGCAAGGAUCACUACAUAGUACACGUUUAGAUGAGCUUCAAUCACCUGCGUUGCAUAGCCAAUACCUGAAAACGCAAAGAGAGACAGCGGGCAGACUUUCCUCCAGCAGGUGAUGCCUCCCUCACUGGUGAACUGACCCAGGGCAGUCUCCAGGAAAAACACGGGGAUACCACAGCACACGAAGAAGAUGACAUAUGGAACGAAGAACGCACCUUUAUGCACACA